GUUGCCAGGGGAGAUGGCAUGCCUCCCGUUUCGGGCAUUCUUCGGCAUCCCGUGACAAACCACCUCUCGUCCGUCGUUGAGGUUGAUGAUGCCUGCACCACC
RNAcentral lists this non-coding RNA (102 nucleotides) under Rhodanobacter spathiphylli. RNAcentral describes it as "Rhodanobacter sp. Fluoride sequence". It matches the Rfam family "Fluoride riboswitch aptamer (crcB RNA motif)". Lineage: Bacteria; Pseudomonadati; Pseudomonadota; Gammaproteobacteria; Lysobacterales; Rhodanobacteraceae. RNAcentral also lists the same sequence under 1 other name. The record is from RNAcentral.